UGUGGCAAAGCAGUGGUAAUGUCACUGACUGUCAAUCUGUUGAUGCAGGUUCGAUUCCCGAACCUGCUGUUGCAA
RNAcentral lists this transfer RNA (75 nucleotides) under Alosa alosa (allis shad). RNAcentral's name for it is "tRNA-OTHER". Lineage: Eukaryota; Metazoa; Chordata; Actinopteri; Clupeiformes; Clupeidae. The record is from RNAcentral.